GUGCUCGCUUCAGCAGCACAUAUACUAAAAUUGGAACUAUACAGAGAAGAUUAGGAUGGCCCUAGCGCAAGGGUGACACGAAAAUUUGUAAAAUGAAAUGGGUUUGA
This is a small nuclear RNA of Suncus etruscus (white-toothed pygmy shrew), 107 nucleotides long. NCBI's taxonomy places the organism in Eukaryota, Metazoa, Chordata, Mammalia, Eulipotyphla, Soricidae. The record is from RefSeq and is a predicted model, not a curated record.